RNAcentral lists this ribosomal RNA (501 nucleotides) under uncultured bacterium. RNAcentral describes it as "partial 16S ribosomal RNA". It matches the Rfam family "Bacterial small subunit ribosomal RNA", at positions 30 to 523 of the family's 1533-position model. The record is from RNAcentral.
AUUGAACGCUGGCGGCAGGCUUAACACAUGCAAGUCGAGCGGGGGGAGGUAGCUUGCUACCGGACCUAGCGGCGGACGGGUGAGUAAUGCUUAGGAAUCUGCCUAUUAGUGGGGGACAACAUCUCGAAAGAGAUGCUAAUACCGCAUACGUCCUACGGGAGAAAGCAGGGGAUCUUCGGACCUUGCGCUAAUAGAUGAGCCUAAGUCGGAUUAGCUAGUUGGUGGGGUAAAGGCCUACCAAGGCGACGAUCUGUAGCGGGUCUGAGAGGAUGAUCCGCCACACUGGGACUGAGACACGGCCCAGACUCCUACGGGAGGCAGCAGUGGGGAAUAUUGGACAAUGGGGGGAACCCUGAUCCAGCCAUGCCGCGUGUGUGAAGAAGGCCUUAUGGUUGUAAAGCACUUUAAGCGAGGAGGAGGCUACUUUAGUUAAUACCUAGAGAUAGUGGACGUUACUCGCAGAAUAAGCACCGGCUAACUCUGUGCCAGCAGCCGCCGCGG